UAUCUCUCAGGCGUCUGUCUCCAAUCGAUACGGUCAGGGAUCCACAGCGACAUUUGAUGUUUGAGAGGACGACGGUGGAUAUAUGAAGACCUCUUACGGAGGGUGUUGAGGUCUUGCUUGAUCCAUAACAACGACUACCAGCAACUUUAUCAAACUUGUUCGCCUUGUUCGCCUUACAAGCAACAACAACUAUUCAAUCCAAAUCUACUGCCACGCCAACUUAAUACCUGCCACAACCACGUGUUCACUAAUGCUCGUCUUUUUUUGUUGGCUGUUGGCCUAUUUAAUACAUCUCAAAUUCAUAUAAUUGUAUGAAGUGGUAUUUAUCUGG
This 331-nucleotide small RNA is filed under the name Cryptococcus neoformans H99. RNAcentral's name for it is "Cryptococcus neoformans var. grubii H99 hypothetical RNA". Lineage: Eukaryota; Fungi; Basidiomycota; Tremellomycetes; Tremellales; Cryptococcaceae. The record is from RNAcentral.